RNAcentral lists this ribosomal RNA (376 nucleotides) under uncultured bacterium. RNAcentral's name for it is "bacterial SSU rRNA". It matches the Rfam family "Bacterial small subunit ribosomal RNA", at positions 524 to 898 of the family's 1533-position model. The record is from RNAcentral.
GACAGAGGGUGCAAACGUUGCUCGGAAUCACUGGGCGUAAAGGGCGUGUAGGCGGGAAGUAAAGUCAGAUGUGAAAUCCCUGGGCUCAACCCAGGAACUGCAUUUGAAACUCACUUUCUUGAGUACCGGAGAGGAAGGCGGAAUACCUGGUGUAGAGGUGAAAUUCGUAGAUAUCAGGUGGAACACCAGCGGCGAAGGCGGCCUUCUGGACGGUAACUGACGCUGAGACGCGAAAGCGUGGGGAGCAAACAGGAUUAGAUACCCUGGUAGUCCACGCUGUAAACGAUGAGUGCUAGGUGUCGUGGGUAUUGACCCCCGCGGUGCCGCAGCUAACGCAUUAAGCACUCCGCCUGGGAAGUACGGUCGCAAGACUAAA